CUCGUUAAUAAGUGAUUUAUUACCUGGAGGACCUUGUCGGCCAAUUGCACCGCGAGGACCAGGAUAACCAGGAGAACCACUAACGCCCUCUGGUCCUGGAAGACCGGGAAGUCCUUCCAUUCCUGGUUCUCCUUUUCUUCCGGGAAUUCCGUCUUCUCCUUGUUCGCCUAUCAUGCCCUGAACUCCAGGGAAACCCCUGAAACCUUCUGGACCUACACACGAAGAUGAAAUAUGAAAACUUGUUUGCGAUUCGCGAUAAACAGUGAUCCUGUCGAUAGUGUAGAUUUUUAUAAAUAUUCAUUUAAUUUAAAUCAAUUUUUAGACAACUU
RNAcentral lists this unclassified non-coding RNA (329 nucleotides) under Bombus terrestris (buff-tailed bumblebee). Its description in RNAcentral is "misc RNA ENSBTSG00005020126.1". Lineage: Eukaryota; Metazoa; Arthropoda; Insecta; Hymenoptera; Apidae. The record is from RNAcentral.